This 468-nucleotide ribosomal RNA is filed under the name uncultured bacterium. Its description in RNAcentral is "partial 16S ribosomal RNA". It matches the Rfam family "Bacterial small subunit ribosomal RNA", at positions 28 to 507 of the family's 1533-position model. The record is from RNAcentral.
GACGAACGCUGGCGGCGUGCUUAACACAUGCAAGUCGAACGGUAAGGCCCUGCUUUUGGGGGGAGUUCGAGACGGGAACGGAUGAGUAACACGAGCGUAACCUGCCUUUGACAUUAGGCUAACUUCAGGAAACUAGGGCCAAUACCGGACCGCAGCCCCCGCUGCAGGGUGGGGGAUGGAAAGUCUCGGCGGGUGGGGAUGGGCCCGCGGCUUAUCAGCUUGUUGGUGGGGUAGUGGCUUACCAAGGCCUUGACGGGUAGCCGGCCUGAGAGGGUGACCGGCCACACUGGGACUGAGACACGGCCCAGACUCCUACGGGAGGCAGCAGUGGGGAAUAUUGCGCAAUGGGCGGAAGCCUGAUGCAGCAACGCCGCGUGCGGGAUGACGGCCUUCGGGUUGUAAACCGCUUUCGCCUGUGACGAAGCGUAAGUGACGGUACUGGGUGAAGAAGCACCGGCUAACUACGUG